Molecule: ribosomal RNA, 468 nt
Filed under: uncultured bacterium
Lineage: Bacteria
Description: partial 16S ribosomal RNA
Rfam family: Bacterial small subunit ribosomal RNA
Source: RNAcentral
GACGAACGCUGGCGGCGUGCUUAACACAUGCAAGUCGAACGGAAAGGCCCUGCUUUUGUGGGGUGCUCGAGUGGCGAACGGGUGAGUAACACGUGAGUAACCUGCCCUUGACUUUGGGAUAACUUCAGGAAACUGGGGCUAAUACCGGAUAUGAGCUCCUGCUGCAUGUUGGGGUUUGGAAAGUUUUGGCGGUUGGGGAUGGACUCGCGGCUUAUCAGCUUGUUGGUGGGGUAGUGGCUUACCAAGGCUUUGACGGGUAGCCGGCCUGAGAGGGUGACCGGCCACAUUGGGACUGAGAUACGGCCCAGACUCCUACGGGAGGCAGCAGUGGGGAAUAUUGCACAAUGGGCGGAAGCCUGAUGCAGCAACGCCGCGUGCGGGAUGACGGCCUUCGGGUUGUAAACCGCUUUCGCCGGUGACGAAGCGUGAGUGACGGUAAUGGGUAAAGAAGCACCGGCUAACUACGUG